Molecule: long non-coding RNA, 1346 nt
Organism: Passer montanus (Eurasian tree sparrow)
Lineage: Eukaryota; Metazoa; Chordata; Aves; Passeriformes; Passeridae
Exons: 3
Source: RefSeq, a predicted model, not a curated record
UUGUUGUCUGUGCUGUGAGGAAGAAGGAGUCAGUACUAUGAGCAGCUGCCCAUAAGAAAUGACCAAUAAGAUAUGCUGUGACAUGACACAUGCAUUUUUGGCGUGUAUUGCAGUAGGAACAACUUUAUAUUUCCUGCAGAUUUGCAGCAUUCAGGAGUUGGGAGAGACACAGCUGGGACAUGUAACUACAUCUGACUGAAGGGAUCUCCCAGACUUUAUGGCAUCAUUUUCAGCAUAUAAAGCCUGGGGAAGAAGGAAGCAGGAAACAUUCAGAGUGGUGGCAUUUGUCUUCUCAAGUAACUGUCACACAUGACGGAGCCGAGCUCUGGAGAUGGCUGAACCCCGGCCUGCCAUGGGAGAUGGUGAAUUAAUUUCCUGUUUUACUUUGCAUGCAUGCACAACUUUUGCUUUUCCUAUUAAACUGUCUUUAUUUCAGCCCAUCAGCUUUUUCCCUUUUACCCUUCUGAUUUGCUCUCCAGUCCUGUUGGUGGAGGUGUGAGUGAGUAGCUCUAUGGUGCUCGGUUGCCAGCUGGGGUUAAACCACAACAGCAGGCUGUCUUCAAGUACCAUUGACGAAAAAAAGAUUUGUUGUAAGGAGGGAACAGGCCAAUUUACUGCCCUUCAAGUGCCCUGGCUGCUCUUCACAAAGAGGUGGGUAGUAAAAAGCAGCCAUCCCUUACAUUCCCCGGUUGCCCUGUUAACAAUACAUUUUUGUUAAGCAUGUAGUAGCAAUACAGCUGUGACCUGUGAUUCAUUAGUUUUGUAGUUGGAGAGAUAUAUAUGAAUCCUACUGCUUCAGUUAGUAUCAGCCAGAAACUGACCAUUAAUUUCAUCAAUCAAUGACUGAGCCUCAUGGACUGGUUACAAUUAGUGUUAACUAAAUGGUGUAUAACAGCAUGUAUAAGCCCUGGCAGAUGUUGUGAUUCUCACUGGGCUUUGCUUCUUUUUAAAGGACCUGCAUAUGUCUCAAAGAACUUUUUGAUAUAAAUGAGGGUGGAAAAAAAAAGAGAAAUGUGAAAGAAUAGAUAUCUCCAUAUUAAAGCAAAAGUUCAAGACCCAGAACCAGUAAAGAAUCUAUUCAGCUGCACCCUUCCCAAACCUUUGGUAGAAGUGUUAUAAAAAGAGAUUUCUAUAGAAUCAUAGAAUGGCCUGGGUUGGAAGGAAUCUUAAAGACCAUCUAGUUCCAGCUUCCCUGCCAUAGGCAGGGACACCUUCCACUAGACCAGUUGAUCAGAUUUCCAGCCUUGAACACAACUUUUGUGUGAAAUCUCUUCCAGUGCCUCACAGUAAUGAAUUUCUUCCUAACAGUCAAUCUAAACCUAGAUGAGAGGAGAAAACAGGUGACA